This 239-nucleotide unclassified non-coding RNA is filed under the name Paraglomerales sp. Its description in RNAcentral is "partial contains 5.8S ribosomal RNA and internal transcribed spacer 2". The stretch from base 1 to 65 matches the Rfam family "5.8S ribosomal RNA", at positions 84 to 154 of the family's 154-position model. The record is from RNAcentral. Lineage: Eukaryota; Fungi; Glomeromycota; Glomeromycetes; Paraglomerales.
GUGAAUCAUCGAAUUUUUGAACGCAAAUUGCGCCUUUCUCGGAGGGCAUGUCUGUUUGAGGGCACCAUUUAACAAAUACUGUGCAUGCUGUGUGUAUUUUUACGCACACGUGCACACGUUGAUGAGAUUUUACAAAAAAAGAAAAUUUUUUGGUGGGACGUAAUGAACAGCGAGCGCUUUCCUCCAAUUUUUCCGAGCGAAGUAAAAUUUCUUUUCGGCGUUUGGGUUGUUGGAAGGUG